Long non-coding RNA from Mytilus californianus (California mussel), 782 nucleotides. RefSeq lists it as uncharacterized. NCBI's taxonomy places the organism in Eukaryota, Metazoa, Mollusca, Bivalvia, Mytilida, Mytilidae. The transcript has 3 exons. The record is from RefSeq and is a predicted model, not a curated record.
AAACCACUACUUUCAAGUUUCCUAUAUACUUACAUGUGUACUUGAUCUUAAUGUACAUGUACAUUGAUAGCCUGCAAUAAUUUCGAUUAGAGAAUUAUCAAUAUCGAAUAUUGUACAAAACAAAAUGAAUGUUUACUGCAUGUUCAUUGUUUCAAUUGGAUAUUUCAAAUACAGUUCAGUGCAGGCUUACGAGAUGCGAUGCAUACAAUGCACUGAUAUAACAUUGCAGUCUAGAAAAGUUUUGUCGGAAUGCUCUACCACAGUACCAUUAACUUCAUGUGAUAGUUCAACCAAAGGAUGUGCUGAUUUCAAAGGAAUUGUCGCUUUUGGGACAAGCCAAGCAACAGACAGUGCCACUGUAAGAUUCCGCUAUUGUGCAUUAGAUUCCCGAAGUUCUUGCUACAAUGUUUCAAAUAUUAACGACUUGACAAAUGAGCCAUCUGGAAUCCAGCAAGCACUCAUAGGAAGAUUGCCAGCUCUUAGACGUAAAGGAAUCCUAUUAGGACAACCACAGGAGGUAGCUGGACAAAUAUGUGUGCAGGGACUCUCGGCACUCAAUGGAAAUAGCAAGCUAAUUCCCAAUGUUAUCUUCUUUACACUAUCUUUCAUACUUACUUGGAUAAUUGUAUGAAAUACUUUAGACCAUUGACAUUUUAUUAACCUAUUCCUUUAUUCGAUAAUUUUGUCUGAUGUUUGCAACAAUUUAUAAGCAAAUCACAGUUAGAUUUUAGCAAGAUAAUAUUGAUGAAUUCACUAGCAUUAAAGUAUUUUAAGAUAUCAUA